GACGAACGCUGGCGGCGUGCUUAACACAUGCAAGUCGAACGGAAAGGCCCAGCUUGCUGGGUGCUCGAGUGGCGAACGGGUGAGUAACACGUGGGUGAUCUGCCUCUAACUUCGGGAUAAGCUUGGGAAACUGGGUCUAAUACCGGAUAGGACAAUCGUUUAGUGUCGGUUGUGGAAAGUUUUUUCGGUUAGGGAUGAGCCCGCGGCCUAUCAGCUUGUUGGUGGGGUAAUGGCCUACCAAGGCGUCGACGGGUAGCCGGCCUGAGAGGGUGGACGGCCACAUUGGGACUGAGAUACGGCCCAGACUCCUACGGGAGGCAGCAGCGGGGAAUAUUGCACAAUGGGCGCAAGCCUGAUGCAGCGACGCCGCGUGGGGGAUGACGGCCUUCGGGUUGUAAACCCCUUUCGACAGGGACGAAGCUUUGGUGACGGUACCUGUAUAAGAAGCACCGGCUAACUACGUG
Molecule: ribosomal RNA, 464 nt
Filed under: uncultured bacterium
Lineage: Bacteria
Description: partial 16S ribosomal RNA
Rfam family: Bacterial small subunit ribosomal RNA
Source: RNAcentral